RNAcentral lists this ribosomal RNA (408 nucleotides) under Tetraplatia volitans. RNAcentral's name for it is "partial 16S ribosomal RNA". The record is from RNAcentral. Lineage: Eukaryota; Metazoa; Cnidaria; Hydrozoa; Narcomedusae; Tetraplatiidae.
UUUUUAUUAUAUAAAAAAUGUUACUGGUCAGUGAUAUUAAACACAUGCCUUAAUCUGAGGGUAAUAAUGUAGCAUAAUUAAUUAUCGUUUAAUUGACGAAGAGUAUGAAUGGUAAAACAUUUUUUAAUUGUCUCAAUUUUAUAAAAUAUUAAAUUAAAAUAAAUGUGAAGAUACAUUUUUAAUAUUAUAAGACGAAAAGACCCUAUAAAUCUUUACUAUUUAGUUAGUUUAACUGGGACAGUUAACUCUUAUUAUAAUAGAGUAUAUUAUUAUAAUUUCUAACAUGAAUUAUUAUGACCACUUGUAAUAAAAUAUAAGUAUAUAGAACAAAAGAUACUUUAGGGAUAACAGCGUUAUUUUUUUAUAAUUUUUUUAUAAAAAAGUUUACGACCUCGAUGUUGAAUUAUG